GACGAACGCUGGCGGCGUGCCUAACACAUGCAAGUCGAGCGGAGUCGAUCGACGGAAGCCUUCGGGCGGAAGAUGGUUGACUUAGCGGCGGAUGGGUGAGUAACGCGUGGGCAACCUGCCUCGAAGACCGGGAUAACAGCCCGAAAGGGCUGCUAAUACCGGAUGUGGUCAAAGAUCCGCAUGGAUUUUUGAUUAAAGGGGAAACCCGUUUCGAGAUGGGCCCGCGUCCUAUCAGCUAGUUGGUGAGGUAAAAGCUCACCAAGGCGACGACGGGUAGCCGGCCUGAGAGGGUGACCGGCCACACUGGAACUGAGACACGGUCCAGACUCCUACGGGGGGCAGCAGUGGGGAAUCUUCCACAAUGGGCGAAAGCCUGAUGGAGCGACGCCGCGUGAGCGAAGAAGGCCUUCGGGUUGUAAAGCUCUGUCGUGGAGGGACGAAGGGAAGUGACGGUACCUCCGGAGGAAGCCACGGCUAACUACGUG
RNAcentral lists this ribosomal RNA (485 nucleotides) under uncultured bacterium. Its description in RNAcentral is "bacterial SSU rRNA". It matches the Rfam family "Bacterial small subunit ribosomal RNA", at positions 28 to 507 of the family's 1533-position model. The record is from RNAcentral.